RNAcentral lists this ribosomal RNA (372 nucleotides) under uncultured organism. RNAcentral describes it as "bacterial SSU rRNA". It matches the Rfam family "Bacterial small subunit ribosomal RNA", at positions 526 to 896 of the family's 1533-position model. The record is from RNAcentral.
CGGGGGGGGCUAGCGUUGUUCGGAAUUACUGGGCGUAAAGGGCGCGUAGGCGGUCUGCUAAGUUGGAUGUGAAAACUCUGGGCUUAACCCAGAGCCUGCAUUCAAAACUGACAGGCUGGAGUUCUGGAGGGGAUAGCGGAAUUCCUGGUGUAGCGGUGAAAUGCGUAGAUAUCAGGAGGAACACCGGUGGCGAAGGCGGCUAUCUGGACAGAAACUGACGCUGAGGCGCGAAAGCUAGGGGAGCAAACAGGAUUAGAUACCCUGGUAGUCCUAGCCCUAAACGAUGGAUACUUGGUGUGACCGGGAUUGAAUCCGGUCGUGCCGAAGCUAACGCAUUAAGUAUCCCGCCUGGGGAGUACGGUCGCAAGGCUG